AAAGAGCAUGGGAUCAUCAUAUUGUGGCAGGAUAGUUAUUGUUGUGACGUCAGAUAGUAAUAACGUAUCGGAGAGCACCGGUGCGUAUAAUGGAGGGUAUCAGGUUCAUGGUGAUUGAACCGUCAUUUUUGAGGUGUUCUUCCGGUUUCCGGUUCCGUGUGUCAACAGAGGCGCUGGGUGGUACUGGUGCGGCGGUUCUGAUUUGUUUCUAGUCACUCGGUUACCUGGGAGGAUCUGUAGGCCAAAAGGCCAAGAGGCCUGACUUUCCUUCAAUUUUCAAGUGCGUGUCUGUGCACCGUGUGCUGUGUGACCACUGACAGAAAAUCACUGGGCACUGAGUGAGUGAGUGUGUUGUGAUUGUGCACAUGCGUGGUGUGGAUAUUUAAAAUUACUUUUGUUUCAGCCUGUCUUGUGCCGAUCAGCUGCAGCCCUGCACGAGUUUUGAUCUCUCUUUUUGUUUAUUUCCUGUUUAUUAAUAAAUGAGAUUUUAUUUUUGUA
Tachysurus fulvidraco (yellow catfish) is the source of this 498-nucleotide long non-coding RNA. RefSeq lists it as uncharacterized. The record is from RefSeq and is a predicted model, not a curated record. Lineage: Eukaryota; Metazoa; Chordata; Actinopteri; Siluriformes; Bagridae. The transcript has 2 exons.